GAUGAAGAACGUAGCGAAAUGCGAUAAGUAAUGUGAAUUGCAGAAUUCAGUGAAUCAUCGAAUCUUUGAACGCACAUUGCGCCCGCCAGUAUUCUGGCGGGCAUGCCUGUUCGAGCGUCAUUUCAACCAUCAAGCCCCCGGCUUGUGUUGGGGACCUGCGGCUGCCGCAGGCCCUUAAAAGCAGUGGCGGGCUCGCUGUCACACCGAGCGUAGUAGCAUACAUCUCGCUCUGGGCGUGCUGCGGGUUCCGGCCGUUAAACCACCUUCAUAACCCAAGGUUGACCUCGGAUCAGGUAGGAAGACCCGCUGAACUUAAGCAUAUCAAUAAGCGGAGGA
Molecule: unclassified non-coding RNA, 336 nt
Filed under: soil metagenome
Description: partial contains 5.8S ribosomal RNA, internal transcribed spacer 2, and large subunit ribosomal RNA
Rfam family: 5.8S ribosomal RNA (bases 1-120)
Source: RNAcentral